GACGAACGCUGGCGGCGUGCCUAAUACAUGCAAGUUGAGCGAUGAAGAUUGGUGCUUGCACCAAUUUGAAGAGCAGCGAACGGGUGAGUAACGCGUGGGGAAUCUGCCUUUGAGCGGGGGACAACAUUUGGAAACGAAUGCUAAUACCGCAUAACAACUUUAAACAUAAGUUUUAAGUUUGAAAGAUGCAAUUGCAUCACUCAAAGAUGAUCCCGCGUUGUAUUAGCUAGUUGGUGAGGUAAAGGCUCACCAAGGCGAUGAUACAUAGCCGACCUGAGAGGGUGAUCGGCCACAAUGGGACGGAGACACGGCCCAAACUCCUACAGGAGGCAGCAGUAGGGAAUCUUCGGCAAUGGACGAAAGUCUGACCGAGCAACGCCGCGUGAGUGAAGAAGGUUUUCGGGUCGUAAAACUCUGUUGGUAGAGAAGAACGUGGGUGAGAGUGGAAAGCUCAUCAAGUGACGGUAACUACCCAGAAAGCGACGGCUAACUACGUG
This 497-nucleotide ribosomal RNA is filed under the name uncultured bacterium. Its description in RNAcentral is "partial 16S ribosomal RNA". It matches the Rfam family "Bacterial small subunit ribosomal RNA", at positions 28 to 507 of the family's 1533-position model. The record is from RNAcentral.